GACAGCAGUCGCCGCGGGAAUACGUAGGGUGCGAGCGUUAAUCGGAAUUACUGGGCGUAAAGCGUGCGCAGGCGGUUUGUUAAGACAGAUGUGAAAUCCCCGGGCUUAACCUGGGAACUGCAUUUGUGACUGGCCGGCUAGAGUAUGGCAGAGGGAGGUGGAAUUCCACGUGUAGCAGUGAAAUGCGUAGAUAUGUGGAGGAACACCGAUGGCGAAGGCAGCCUCCUGGGCCAAUACUGACGCUCAUGCACGAAAGCGUGGGGAGCAAACAGGAUUAGAUACCCGUGUAGUCCCUGUCUCUUAUAC
RNAcentral lists this ribosomal RNA (306 nucleotides) under uncultured bacterium. Its description in RNAcentral is "partial 16S ribosomal RNA". It matches the Rfam family "Bacterial small subunit ribosomal RNA", at positions 507 to 807 of the family's 1533-position model. The record is from RNAcentral.